Molecule: ribosomal RNA, 119 nt
Filed under: Pteropus alecto (black flying fox)
Lineage: Eukaryota; Metazoa; Chordata; Mammalia; Chiroptera; Pteropodidae
Source: RNAcentral
GCCAAUAGCCAUGCCACCCUAAACGUGCCUGAUCUCGUCCGAUUCUGGAAGCUAAGCAGGGUUGGGCCUGGUUAGUACUUAUAUGGGAGACCACCUUGGAAUACCAGGUGCUGUAGUUU